UAAGCAAGUCAGCCUUAUCGCUUUAUGUAUAUAAAGAGGAAAGUCCGGACACCAUAGAGAAGCAUAAUGGAUAACAUCCAUCCGAUGUAAAUCGAGGACCAGUGCAACAGAAAGAAUGUACAGUUAGGCUGUAGUGAAACCAGGUAAACUCUAUGCGGUGCAAUGUCACGUAUAUUAGAGAUUGAGAACUUCUCGUUCGAUUCUAAGGGGUAGACAGAUAGAUUUUAAAAGCAAUUUUAAAACUAGAGAAAUGAUAGGGAUUCUUACUAAAGAAAAACAGAAUCCGGCUUAUUGACUUGCUUUUUUA
RNAcentral lists this RNase P RNA (307 nucleotides) under Asprobacillus argus. RNAcentral's name for it is "RNase P RNA component class A". It matches the Rfam family "Bacterial RNase P class A". Rfam says of the family: Ribonuclease P (RNase P) is a ubiquitous endoribonuclease, found in archaea, bacteria and eukarya as well as chloroplasts and mitochondria. Its best characterised activity is the generation of mature 5'-ends of tRNAs by cleaving the 5'-leader elements of precursor-tRNAs. Lineage: Bacteria; Pseudomonadati; Bacteroidota; Flavobacteriia; Flavobacteriales; Flavobacteriaceae. The record is from RNAcentral.